ACGGGAGGCAGCAGUGGGGAAUAUUGCACAAUGGGGGAAACCCUGAUGCAGCGAUGCCGCGUGGAGGAAGAAGGUUUUCGGAUUGUAAACUCCUGUCUUAAAGGACGAUAAUGACGGUACUUUAGGAGGAAGCUCCGGCUAACUACGUGCCAGCAGCCGCGGUAAUACGUAGGGAGCGAGCGUUGUCCGGAAUUACUGGGUGUAAAGGGAGCGUAGGCGGGACUGCAAGUCAGAUGUGAAAUGCCGGGGCUUAACCCCGGAGCUGCAUUUGAAACUGUGGUUCUUGAGUGAAGUAGAGGCAAGCGGAAUUCCUGGUGUAGCGGUGAAAUGCGUAGAUAUCAGGAGGAACACCGGUGGCGAAGGCGGCUUACUGGGCUUUUACUGACGCUGAGGCUCGAAAGCGUGGGGAGCAAACAGGAUUAGAUACCCUGGUA
Molecule: ribosomal RNA, 434 nt
Filed under: uncultured Ruminococcus sp.
Lineage: Bacteria; Bacillati; Bacillota; Clostridia; Eubacteriales; Oscillospiraceae
Description: partial 16S ribosomal RNA
Rfam family: Bacterial small subunit ribosomal RNA
Source: RNAcentral